This is a non-coding RNA of Erinaceus europaeus (western European hedgehog), 84 nucleotides long. Lineage: Eukaryota; Metazoa; Chordata; Mammalia; Eulipotyphla; Erinaceidae. The record is from Rfam.
GUUCCAUCCAUGAUGUCCAGCACUGGGCUCUAAUCCUCUAUGAAGACAUGGUGGUAGCCCCUGGGACCUGUGAGUCUGAAGAAC